AACGAACGCUGGCGGCAGGCUUAACACAUGCAAGUCGAACGGAUGUAGCAAUACAUCAGUGGCAGACGGGUGAGUAACACGUGGGAACCUUCCUCGUUGUACGGAACAACUCAGGGAAACUUGAGCUAAUACCGUAUAAGUCCGAGAGGAGAAAGAUUUAUCGCAAUGAGACGGGCCCGCGUCGGAUUAGCUAGUCGGUGGGGUAACGGCCUACCAAGGCGACGAUCCGUAGCUGAUCUGAGAGGAU
RNAcentral lists this ribosomal RNA (247 nucleotides) under uncultured bacterium. RNAcentral describes it as "partial 16S ribosomal RNA". It matches the Rfam family "Bacterial small subunit ribosomal RNA", at positions 29 to 301 of the family's 1533-position model. The record is from RNAcentral.